This 4111-nucleotide long non-coding RNA is filed under the name Sus scrofa (pig). RNAcentral's name for it is "lncRNA (ENSSSCG00000048776.2)". Lineage: Eukaryota; Metazoa; Chordata; Mammalia; Artiodactyla; Suidae. The record is from RNAcentral.
AUCGCCGGGUGCGUUCCUGUGUUGCCCACAGGCGGCCUUUUUUCCUCCCUAGCAUGGUGCAGUCGCCUGUUCGCCGCAGAGACUGUAGCCCACAAAGCCUCAGACAUUAAGUUUGUCCACUGGUGCUCUAAUGCUUUUCAUGCCCAUCUGAGAGGCAGGAGGCUGAUAACAUGACGGUGGGAAAGGCCGCAUGAGAUCCUGUUAGCUUCUGUGAGCUGGUUGUGAGCCAUGCGCAGGAAAUGUUUGAGGCGUCUCUUGUCCCGUUUCCCUUGAAACCUGACGCAUCCACAGCUCAGUGCACAGUGACAGGCAUUUACAUAUGUCCUUCUGGUUUUGUCUAUUUUGAAUUUAGUUAUGGGGAAAUUUUUAACAUGUCUCAAAAAGAAAGUAUCUGAGAUGAGUCAAAAAGACUGUAGACUGCGCUUGCCUGAGUGUAGGAAAUCUGGAUCUCACUCCCAGUUGUGCUGGAAACUGGCCAGAGGACAGCAGGAAAGUCCUUUAACCCCCUAGAGGUCUCUCUAAGCGAUAGUGUUGAUUGGUGAAUAACCCAGAUCAUCUCUAGGCACCAUUCAGCCCAGCAGAGACGCUGCUUGUGAAAGGAGCGCGUACUCUGGCCUCCGACAGACCUGGGUGUGAAUCCUGGCUCUGUCGUUUGCUACAGAUGACCUUGGGCAGGUGCUCUGAACCCUCUGGGCCUUAGCCAGGGCAGCUGGAAGUGUGGCUCUAGGAAGGGCCUUCUGAGCUCGUGUUCUCACAGCUCCCGGCACUAAUCAGUGUUUAAUCCGGUGCGGCUAUGAACACUAUGAUCAGCCUGUGAGCCCUUUACUAUAUAGGAUGAGACAUUUUAAACGGCAAAGACCUCCCUGCAGUUUGUUUUAAUGACUUAUUAAUGGCCCAUCAGCUGUGACUUAGUACAUUUGCAUUCUUGCUGAUAACAGGCUCCCCCAGACACUGACUUCUUUGAACCAAGACUUUCCCUACCUGAUAAACCUUCUGCGCCUGUUUUAACUGGAAUUGGCACAGAGAGUGUCUUGCCUUGUCAACACAUCCGAUGGUAAUUUCAUUUUACUGUGCUUAGAGCAAGUGAUAGUGGGGAUUUUGUGCGUCAUAUCAUCUUUCCUCUGUUUUAGCUACUUUCUUUUCUUUCCACCCAUUCUCAAUAAUUUAUUGAGUUGUUUAAUAAUUUUAAUUCUCCUAAGGUAGUUUGUUUUGUUUGGGUUUUUUUUAUGGCUGCACCCGCGGCAUAUGGAGGUUCCCGGGCUAGGGGUGGAAUCAGAGCUGCAGCUGCUGGCCUACACCACAGCCACAGCAACGCUAGGUCCUGAACCCACUGAGCAAGGCCAGGGAUCGAACCCACAACCUCAUGGAUACUAGUCAGGUUUGUAACCCACUGAGCCACAACAGGAACGCCAAGGUUAGUUUUGAUGAGGAGACUUAGACGGAGAAGUUCUAAUAUUUGCUUAGCAUUAUUUUUGUUGAUUUAGAGGUAACAUAAUUUUAGAGACAGUAUUGGGUUGUCAGGACACCGCACUUUCUGUCUUUGAAUCAUUUUCUUCUUUGUUUAUGAAAGUCUAUUGAAUAUUAAUUAUAUACUUUAUUUCAAGCAAACUCAAUGUUAUGAAAUAUUUGUGCUUAUGAUUUGCUUAAUGAAAAAGACACGGGAUUCCUCAAAUAGCCAGCUUUUCUAGUAGAAUCAAGAUAAUGAUUUGAGCUACACACAGCUGUAUAAGCGCAUGUCCCUGCACAGCAUGCUAGACAGGGAUUAGGCCGAGGUCAAGAGCACAGGCUUCGGAGUCAGAGAACACAGCUGCAGCUUAGGGCCUGGCUUUGCCUCUUGUGGCCUGUGGGACCGUACUUCCCGCGGGGGUGAUGGUCCUCAGGGCGGUGGGAAAGAUGAAUGUGAAAUUCUGCCCAGGAGGUGCUUAGCCUGGUGCCCGACAGGCAGCAAGUGCUUCCGGCACAUCCGUUGCUGGUGGAUGAUUUUAGGGAUCAGUACAACGAACUGCUGUCUGUGGCUAGAGACCGGAAUCCUGCUGUCUCUCAAGCUUCAUUUACUGCUCUCUGAUCUCAGACUCCAGCCACAGCGAGCUCGUGGGGCAAGUCCCCUGAAAUUCCACGGCCCCCUCCUGCUCUAAAUGUGUGCCUGUGAUCGUCCGCAUCGAACCUCCUUCUCCUCCCUUCUUUUUCUCCGGACUCACUGCUCCUUCAGGGCUCGGCUGGGGGAGUUCUCCUCCAGGAAGCCUGGGGCGGAGGCUUCGGCCCUCGUGCCUCCCCAGAGGCCCGUGCACACCUCUCUCGGCGUCCACACUGCGGUGUGAGGGGCCGUGUACCCGCAGUCUCUCUAUCGAAGGGCACUGUGUUCGGCUUCAGAAAUGCCGUGUGGUGGUGGACAAGACAGACCUGUUCUCCAGGCAAGUGCAUCCUGCACGUUUGGGGAAGACAAAUAUUUAAAUAAUCGCGAGCAAGCACAGGGCUUCGGGAGAGCCGUGCACGCAGUGGAACAGCAGCAGCUCUGGACCUCCUGUGGACACGCCGGAGAAGCCUUUUGCUAAGGAAGUGGUGUUUAUUUAAGUCGAAACCUGGGAGUCAGCAAGGAAAAAAAAAAGGAAGAGUUCCAGGUAGAGAAACCCGCCUGGGUGGGUGACUUUGGGCCCGUUAUUUAGCUUCUCUGGGCAUCUGCUUUCUCAUUCGUAACAGGGCAGUAGGGUGACUGCCUCCUCGGAUUGCGCUGCGCACAAAUGCGGUUUCAAGCCCUCGUCUUCGGAGGCCUCUUUCUGCUGGGAAGCGCAGUCAGGUCCCAGAGCCCCAUUCCCGGGUCCCGUUUGCUUGUCGAGUUGCCGGGUGUGGGGAUCCACUCACCGUGCCUCUCCUGGUAGCGGGCCCUUGCCCUGUCCCAAAGCCCUGCUCGUGUUUUGAUGACGAGAGCAGGGUGUUCGCUUUUGCUUCCCUGUUCGUUUGUUUGACGUGUGCAGACCCAGCUGUGCCUCUCGUCGCCUGCCCAGCUCCGGCUGUGCCAAAGCUUUGCGGUCCCUGCGUGUUACAGGUUGGAGUCUUUCGCCUUUGAGGAACAGAGACGCCAACUCAGUGACUUAAACAGGCGGGAUUUCAGAUAAUAGGACGUCUGCAAGGCUGGUUGAUGCAGCAGCUCGGGACCCAGGUUCAUUUUAUGUUCCUGCCCUGCCAUGCUCAGAACAUCGGCUUGUCCCCGCUGGCGCCCCCGGUCUCAGGUGGUCUGCUGCCGUCCCGCGUGGCAGCGCGUGUGCGGCGCGUGGCUUCAGGGCAGCGGUAGGUGGGUGUGAUGGAUGGACUCACGGGGUCCUCAAAGGCCACGCUUCCCCUGUAGGGACGCUGUGGUCCAGAAUCGCUCUGUUAAAUGGGGGUCGGUGCCCUCAUUUACACUCUUUUAGAUUAAGUGACUCUUAUUUGCUGUCAUAGAUACUCUUCAGUUAUUUGAGAAAAAGGCUGUGUUUUUCAAAGAGACGAAGAGAAUGUGGGACAUGGUAGGUGUCUCCUGAUAGAGGUCCACAAGCCACCUGUAAAGUAGCCUUGCAGGCUCGAACAGAACCUGAGUUUGUUUAAAAAACAAAAACAAAAAACACCUCUAGACCUUACUAUGGAUUUAGAGGGAAUCCGAGGGACAGAAACACAGUAAAUGUUUUUUUAGGGAUGCAGUCAGUAAAUUCCAAACUACUUUAUGGGACAAACUAGUUUCUUCAACAAAUAAAUAAUAAGGGGGGGGAGGAUGGAGAGGCCUCCUGUAGAUUAAAAAGAGACUUGAGAUGAAUGAACCAAUAGAAAUAUGUGGAUCUGAUUCAAACAAAAACAAUGCAGGGGAAAAUGUGGAUACUGGCUGAUUAUUUUAUGGUAUUAGGAAGCUUAUCGGGAGUUCCCUUUGUGGCUUAGUGGUAACAAACCCGACUAGUAUCCAUGAGGAUGCAGGUUGGAUCCCUGGCCCUGCUCAGUGGGUUCAGGAUCCGGCCCUGCCACGAGCUAUGGUGUAGGUUGCAGACAUGGCUCAUAUCCCACCUUGCUGUGGCUGUGGCAUGGGCUGGCAGCUGCACCUCUGAUUUGACCCCUAGCCUGGGAACUUCCAUAUGCUGCGGGUGUGGCC